RNAcentral lists this long non-coding RNA (3979 nucleotides) under Fukomys damarensis (Damara mole-rat). RNAcentral describes it as "lncRNA (ENSFDAG00000027886.1)". Lineage: Eukaryota; Metazoa; Chordata; Mammalia; Rodentia; Bathyergidae. The record is from RNAcentral.
AUGCAUGAGGAACAAAGCAUACGUUGCCUACCAGAGUCACUUCUCUCCCCUGCCCUUAGAGACAGGGCCUGCAAAUCUAAUGGGAAGGCUGUCCGGUUACCAUGGGAACCAGCUGGGAGUGGCCAACGUGGACGGGAAAUCUUAAUCACUUUAACAGAAGGGAUGGAUCAUAUUUAUAAGCGGAAGAAACCAGGACAGGGAGGAAGGAAAGAUUCGAGAUGUAGGAGAGAGAAGACGAUGCUGAAAGUGUUUGAGGGAUUUGUGUGUGGGAUGAACCCCAACUGCCAGGGGAGAAAUCAGACCAGAGGGGCAGAGGCGCCUCUCCGGAAGAAACCAAGGUAAAGGAAGUGAAGAGGGCCUUAGAGAUGACUGGAUUAUGAGAAUAGUUGAAAGUGUCCCUCCCUGACACUUCCCUUUCUGUACAGUAAGUUCAAGGCUGAAAGCAAGAAUGAUGGGAAUAAAAGACCGAGACACAAAACAGAGGAUUUUGACAGCCAUGUGACCAGGGAAAAGGCAAAUGACCAGAAAGAAGGAAAAUAAGUACUAAGCUCUGUCAGGCAGCUUUCAAACUGUAGCAGGCAUCAGAACCACACGAAGAGCUUGUCAAACACAAUCUGUUGGACCUUAGCCCCAAAUAUCUAGUGUGGUAGGUCUGGAACAGGACACGAAAAUUCGCAUUUCUAACAUGCUCCUAUCGGUACUGACACUGCUACUCUAGGGACUCCGUUUGCUAUUAAAAUAAAAGUGAUUAAAGCCAGGCGUGAUGGCGCACGCCUGGGAUCCCAGCACUUGGGAGGCUGAGGCAGGAGGAUCGCUGUGAGUUCGAGACCAGCCUGGGCUACAUAGUGAGUUCCAGGUCAGUCUCAACUACAUAGUGAGACCCUGUCUCAAAAAACCAAAAAUAAGUAAAUAAAACCAACAAAAUAAAAGGAAUUAGAAAACAUUUCCACUGCAGAGAAUUAAAGGGUGCAAUUUAUGAUUGAUCAGGUGGCAAAAUCUCACGGUACCGUGUCUACAUGUUUGGAUUGGUGUCUUCAGAAUUCCCCACCACCGUUCAGGCUCUUUCCCUAGCAGGGAAGGCCUUUUCCUCUCCAGCCCACGAAUAGCUCUACACAUCAUCCAAGGUCGAGUGCUACCUUCCCAGGGCCUGGUCUUUCCCCUCUCGCUUUGGAAAAGUCUGCGCUCUGCUUUCUGCACGCACAUAAUCUGCGCUCCUCUCUUAGUUUGCCUGGCAUUUGUUGUUAUUCUUCCAGACGCCUGGGCACCCACACCCCGGAACUGUGUGAUGAUGUCAGGCACAGAGUCCCCUUUAGCUUCACGCACCCGCUAUCACGGUUAGCAGUGUCUGGCACAGCGAGGUACCCACAACCAUGGCUGGGACUAAACAACAGGCAGGCUCACUUAGCAGACUGCUUAAGAGACUUCGAAGCUUCCAGCCAAACAAGCAAGAGAACAUUAAGUCAGAGAACAUCAGAAUAAAAUUUCACUUUACAUGAUUUGCCUCUUCCCCCUUGACAGAAGCUCUUAUUAAAAUAACAUUAGCUGAAAAAUAUUUCUGUGCCAAAAGCAAUUAUGAUAAUCUUUCCCUGCAUUUAUUUAAUUCUUUUUAUUCUAAAAGUUCAUGGUGCACAGGCCUCAGCUCACAAGGAAAGCAAAGCGCUGAACUGGACUUGAACUUCUCAUUUCUUUGCUAGACAAGCUCUGUUCUCUUCUAACUCAUCUGGGAGCCCAUUAGUAUUGCAGAUGUCUGAGUUUAGAUUUCUGCAUUUGACGUCCUCAGCAAAUCCACGUGGGCAUGGAUUCAAAAGAGAGGUUUCGAUUAGUUCCCCUUAAAGGAUGAAAUGCUGUUGUCCCUCGCAGGAUGCUCUCAUCUUUAACAGGUGAUUAAGGUCCUCUAGGCUCACAUGGCUUUUCAGUCUGUUUCAGCCAAUUAUGGUACUAAAUAAAAAGCAAAAGGGUGGGGGGGGAAUGGAAAGCAGGAACUGGGUAUGGAGAUACCUCAAAAAACUAGGGUUUGAGUUCCCAUUUGACAUAGCUAUUCCCCUGCUGGGCAUCUUCCCAAAAGAAUCACACCACAGUGACAUAUGCACACCCAUGUUUAUAGGCGCAGUUUGUAAUAGCUAAAGCUUGGAAAAGCCCAAUUUCCCAUCUACUGGAGACUGGAUAAAGAAGAUGUAUCAAUGUGUUCUUCACGCUUUUCUACUGGUAAAGCAGUCUGUUUCUUGGACUGAUUUGCAGUGUACUCUCAGACAUCACCCAUUGGGUUUCUGCACCCCAGAGGGCUUUCAGCCCCCUUUCCACUGGUCUUAAUUCCCUCCUUCAAGGUUUCAGAAAAAUGAAUGACAUACACCUGUAUGCACACAUCAUCUGCGACUGAUACCAUAGACCCUAUAAUUGGUUUUUGUUCCUGACUUCCACUGCACAGUUUCAGAACUUCUUGGAUUUUCCACAGCGAUAUGAAAAUAUUUUUCACACCAAUGAGAUAAUUCACAGUUGGCCCCUGGAGAGUUCCAGAUGGGGAGGUCACAUGAUCCAGAAAGACAGAUCACAUGAUAAAAAGGUUAGAAUGUGGGGCCAGCCUUGCCUCUGGGGAGGGGAGGGAACAUGGCCCUCAAGUUCAAUCCCGUGGUGAAUGACUUACUGAAUUAUGUCUACAUAAUGAAACUCCAACCACUUCCCUGGACACCCAAACGCCCUGUUUGGUAAUAGACUGAUGUACUGAGGGGUAACAUGCCAGGUUUCCACAAGGAAUAAGAAUAGGAAUGCUGUACUCCUCCCAGAUCUCACCCUAUGUGGAUCCUUAUCAUAAAACCGUCAUAGUAUGGAGAGCUCUUUUAAUGAGUAUUGUGAAUCAGUCUAUACAAUUAUCAAAUCUGAGAUGGUCAUGGAAACCCCUGAAUUUAUAUCCCAUUAGCUGGAAGUGUGCACUGCCCAUGAAUGCCACACAAGACUGGCCUCCGAAAUGAGUGCAGUCUGGUGUAGAAGUUAUCCCUUAACUGUUAGGGUCUAUAAUAGUCCAGGUGGGUAGCGACGGAAGAAAAUCAUGUGCUGCACUCCUGUUAGGGUUUCAACAAAACAAUGGCAGAGUAAGGUCUGGCUGACUUCUUUCAUAAGCUCUUGUGAUGACUAAGCCUAACUGUCCAAUUAAUUAGUUUGAGAUCAGCCUACGGGAUUAGUAAAAGAUGCUUCUAAAUUGUGUCUAGGUGUGUGGCGGAGGUGUGACCUCCAGUCUACAUUUUUUCCCCGGGACCCCUUUGUUGGGAGCUGUCCCCCUGCUGUGCUUCCCAGCAGACAUCAUGUGAACAAAUUUUCCUAUUUCUGUUUUGGAGCCAGCCAACUACAGACUGAAUGCUCCAAAACUGUAAGCCAAAUGAAACCUCUCUCCCUUUACGUUGUGCAUGUCAGCUUUUUUUUUUUUAAUUUAUUUAUUUAUUUUUUACUAGCAAUGGGAAUUCAGUUACCUCUCACCUCUAUAGCCACGGACAGGGUUAUUGCUUGAUGUACUUUGGAGAGCAAGGCCCAGUGGUCUUUUCCAUUUGUUCUAUGUUGCAUAGCCAGGAGAGAUGGGAGCUGAAUUAAAUUUAAAUGAAUUCUUUCUUGCUGUAACAUCACCUGUAAACCAUCAUCAGAUAUGUGAGAGCCCCCUUCCCUCCUGUUUGAGACCUGUUUUUGAGGAUAGAACUUCCUUCCUACCUGGCUUCUCUAAGAGACUUACUUUUUUGUACCAACCAGCUGGGUUUCUCAAAAUCAACUGUAGAAGCCACUCAUCAAAAUAAGCCAAGGCAUUCACUGAAAAGAUUGGCUCCAGACACAUAGACAGAGAGUGUGGAAUCUUCGUGGAGGAUGCAGAGAGUCAAAAUUAGCUCCAGAGUUGGUUCUUGUAUACACAGUCAUAUAAACAAAGAACAUCCUCUCUGUGUACCUGAUAGUAAGACCAAAAAUAAUAAUCUGCCUUCUAUGAGAUAUUGAGACCCUGAGC